This 344-nucleotide unclassified non-coding RNA is filed under the name Hevea brasiliensis (rubber tree). The record is from RNAcentral. Lineage: Eukaryota; Viridiplantae; Streptophyta; Magnoliopsida; Malpighiales; Euphorbiaceae.
UUGAGUUUUCGUUUCCGUUUCGUGGGGUUCCAAUUGAUCGAUUUGGGUGUCCGAUUUUUUCACUGUUUCAGCUUCUUUAACGAUUUGGGGAUCCGAUUUUUUCACAGUUUCAGAUUCUUUGACGAUUUGGGUGUCUGAAUUUUUCGAUUUGGGGAUAUGGGUUUCGGUUGAAAUUGAAAACCCAUUUGGAUUUUGAGUGAAGAAGAUGAGAUCACCUGAGGUAAUUCCAAUCGAUUGAAGCAUAUCUUCUUCAGAAAAUUGAAGUUCAUCCUUUCGAUUGAGAGAAAGAUGAAUCGAAUUUGGUAUUGAUGAUGAUGGAAAUGCUUGAGAAAUUCGAUUUUUGA